Long non-coding RNA from Onthophagus taurus, 627 nucleotides. RefSeq lists it as uncharacterized. NCBI's taxonomy places the organism in Eukaryota, Metazoa, Arthropoda, Insecta, Coleoptera, Scarabaeidae. The record is from RefSeq and is a predicted model, not a curated record.
CGGCGUUCAUUAAAAUGCACGGUCGACGAUUUUCUACAACAAUCGUUUGUUAUUGAGUAAGAAAAGGAAUAAAAAAAACUUAUGGUCUUGCUUUUGCAACGUUUUGGUUUCGAAUUAGUUAAAACGCGCGUGACUCGUCGUAUAUUUUGCGGAAUAAUUCGCAGUCGUUUAGAAUUCUUUAAACAAACCGCAUGUCAAAAAACGUUUAAAAUAAAAACAGAAAGUAAACCAAACCGCUUAUCGCGUUAUCUUAAAACUCGUAAACCUCAGUAACAUGAAGAGUCCCUCCUUUAUGAGUCGGCCUCUAUAAAUAUUUGAUUCGAUAAGUCAUCAACGCGAAAUUAUUAUUGCUAGUAUAACUCAUUCUUUAUUCAACAAGUGAUCAGAAAAGGUACAAAAUUUAAAAUGUCUUCGUUGGUUAAAAGUAUGUCUUUUAGGAAGAAACCCGGAUAUGACAUGAACCCAAAUAAAAUUAAUCCCAAAGAUUUAGAUUUACCUCAUAUCCAACCCGAACCAGAACGCAAAAAGAACACAAAUUUUCCCGAAAACGAUAACUCAUCAGGAAAAUACACAGUUUGUAAUGUAAAAUACAAUACAUUUGAUACUAAAUAAAACAUUUAUUUUUAA